Molecule: transfer RNA, 72 nt
Filed under: bacterium
Lineage: Bacteria
Description: tRNA-Arg
Rfam family: tRNA
About the family: Transfer RNA (tRNA) molecules are approximately 80 nucleotides in length. Their secondary structure includes four short double-helical elements and three loops (D, anti-codon, and T loops). Further hydrogen bonds mediate the characteristic L-shaped molecular structure. tRNAs have two regions of fundamental functional importance: the anti-codon, which is responsible for specific mRNA codon recognition, and the 3' end, to which the tRNAs corresponding amino acid is attached (by aminoacyl-tRNA synthetases). tRNAs cope with the degeneracy of the genetic code in two manners: having more than one tRNA (with a specific anti-codon) for a particular amino acid; and 'wobble' base-pairing, i.e. permitting non-standard base-pairing at the 3rd anti-codon position.
Source: RNAcentral
GUCCCCAUAGUUUAAUGGAUAAAACGACUCCCUUCUAAGGAGUAGAUCGAGGUUCGAUUCCUCGCGGGGGCA